GUUGGUGAACCAGCGGAGGGAUCAUUACCGAGUGUUCUACUCACCAACCAUUGUGUAUCUACCUAUAUUGGCUUCUCCGGCAGGCGGUUCCAGGGCGGAAUCGAGCCUAACAGCACCUGCCGAAGGGGCAAACCACUGCUCUAAACGUAUUGUCUGAGUACCAAAAAAAACAAAUUAUCAAAAUUUUCAAUUGUGGAUCUCUUGGUUCUG
This 210-nucleotide unclassified non-coding RNA is filed under the name rhizosphere metagenome. Its description in RNAcentral is "partial ribosomal RNA internal transcribed spacer region". The record is from RNAcentral.